Gopherus evgoodei (Goodes thornscrub tortoise) is the source of this 163-nucleotide long non-coding RNA. RefSeq lists it as uncharacterized. The record is from RefSeq and is a predicted model, not a curated record. Lineage: Eukaryota; Metazoa; Chordata; Testudines; Testudinidae. The transcript is spliced from 3 exons.
CCCAGGGCAUUUCUGUGCCUCUCCCUCUCCCCACCCAUUCAAGAAGACAAUGGAGGCUUUGUUUUAUACCCUAGAGCAGCAUUUCUCAAAUGCAGCCACAGAGGCUUCUCUUGUGGCCACAGCCAUCUGGGCAGUGAUUGGAGGGGUGGGGGGAGAACUGCAA